Molecule: long non-coding RNA, 869 nt
Organism: Mustela erminea (ermine)
Lineage: Eukaryota; Metazoa; Chordata; Mammalia; Carnivora; Mustelidae
Exons: 3
Source: RefSeq, a predicted model, not a curated record
AGGAAAUCGAAGGGACUUUGGGAACGUCACACCUGCAGUCGCUUUGUGGGCUUGUUUUUGAGGGUUCAUGAGGAGUAGCCAAAAUUGUAACCACAGAGUGAAAGAAAUCAAUGAAGCUUUCUGAGUGUAGUGUCCUUGACAGAGUGGGAAGCUCACACAAACAUCUUUCAUUUUCCAAGAAAGACUUUGAGAUGGGGAUCAAGAGAGCAAAAAGGAAGCCAUCAAAUUCAUCCUUUGUCACAUGAAAUGUCUACUCAUCCUCAUUUCCUGGAGAAGCGACACCAAAGGAUGAAAACGAAAGACGCGGGUGUGUCAAAACAUGCUUCACUCCUUAACUGUGCAUGCUCACCGGCCUCCAGCUCUUCCUGGUCCCAGCUGAAGGAGCAUCAGGUUUUCCAGGAAAUCUCUGGAUUCAUAUAAGGGGGCCCAGGAGGAGACCUGUGUGCCGCCCAGAACCGGACCCAGCAGGGCAGGACUUCAUACCAAGUGAAUUCAGAACAAGAUGUUUUCAUUACCUUCUGUAGGCCAAAGCAGGGUUCCAGUCCCAGAAGAGUGACACGGAGGACCCGGGGCUCUGUGUGGAAAGAGAACCACUUCCCACUGCCUGCGUUAGAUUAUUGCUUCUGACCACGGCCUCCUCCCAGAAGCGGGGAUUAUGCCCAGGCCCCACUGAUUUGGGGUUUAGCCAUGUGACUGGCUUUGACCAAUAGAAUCAACCAGUCAUAUAUUUCUCAAUUGUUUUUGUCUGAUACUCUUUAUCCCCCAUCCCAAACGGAGGUUCCACAAGAGCAGGGUCUGUGUCUGUUUCGUUAGUUUUAAAAUCUCUGGUGCUUGGGCGCCUAGGUGGCUCAGAGGGUUAAGCCCCUGCC